GCCAGGUAUGGUGGUGCAUGCCUGUAAUCCCAACUACUUGGGAGGCUGAGGCGGAAGAAUCACUUGAACCCAGGAGGCAGAGGUUGCAGUGAGCCAAGAUGGUACCACUGCACUCCAGCCUGGGUGACAGAGUGAGAUUCUGUCUCAA
This is a non-coding RNA of Pan troglodytes (chimpanzee), 148 nucleotides long. It matches the Rfam family "Metazoan signal recognition particle RNA". From Rfam's summary of the family: The signal recognition particle (SRP) is a universally conserved ribonucleoprotein. It is involved in the co-translational targeting of proteins to membranes. NCBI's taxonomy places the organism in Eukaryota, Metazoa, Chordata, Mammalia, Primates, Hominidae. The record is from Rfam.